AGAUGAGUCGCACGACUCCAUAAACA
RNAcentral lists this transfer RNA (26 nucleotides) under Canis lupus (wolf). RNAcentral describes it as "partial tRNA-Phe". Lineage: Eukaryota; Metazoa; Chordata; Mammalia; Carnivora; Canidae. The record is from RNAcentral.